UAUGCAAGAGAGACGAAGUGCAAAACAUGUGUGUGAGAAUUCAUUAACCAUGAGAAAUCCCUUAUUGUUGCUACCCUAAAUUUUUUCUAUAUGCGUUUUACUACCGGAAACGGUACUUCGAGUAAAUCUGGUAUUUAAAGAAGGGCUUUUCCAUAUAAGAUGAAAAAUAUUAAAUAGCGCAAAGCGAAAAGAGGUGUAAACAUGACUAUAGUCGCUAAUUAGUUUAUUUCAGGGAUUGUAACCAAAUAAAUCAUAUGUUGAGAGCAAGAAACAAUCUUCAUGUAGAAAGCAAAAAAAAGUUGUUUUGUGUGGUAAAAGAGUUAACAAAGCAAGCAUAAGUUGCAUGUUUGUAAAUAUUUAAUCACAUUUCUCUGCUUUGAUUUCAAAUUUACUAGGAAUUAUUUCCUGCUCCUGCGCAGUAAGCAACCGAGCAGACAAAAUAUCUCCCGGUACCACAGGACCAACGCCCUUUGGAGUACCUGUUAGCACCAAAUCACCAGGAUUCAAGGACAUGGCCUCAGUGAUUGACGAGAAUAUUUUAGGAAUCUUGUUUAACAUCAGAGAUGUACUGUCCUUCUGGACCACCUUGCCGUUAAGUGACAAUUCCAGAAUGACAUUGUGGGGAUCAGGUAUAAGAUGCUUAGGAAUGAUGGGGCCAACGGGUAAAAAGGUGUCAUAACCUUUCGCGAAGGACCAAGGGAGACCUUUUUUCUUCGCUUCAUUUUGUAUGUUUCUAGCGGUCAUAUCGAUUCCUACAAAGUAGGCUCCAAUUGAAUCGAGCCAGCUAUUGGAAGAUACUGGACGUCUGGCAGGCAGGCGAUCCUUCAUUAUCAAUCCUAGUUCAACUUCAUAAUGAGCAGAUACAUCGGGAGGAAUUAUUAAGUUUCCAUGGCCAGGUUCAACAAUGGCACUAGUAGGUUUAAGGAAAAAGAAAGGUUUGGUGGGGAAGGGGUUGUUCAACUCACGAAUGUGAGCACUAAAUAUAAAAUUAGUAUUCUACUUCAAAUGUAAAAUAAAAGUUUAAGAUCCUCGACAAUUCAGUGACGUUUUGGACCUUCAGCUUUUUUGAUUCCAAGUAACCAUAUCUUCGAAUCAUCAAUAAAUCUUGAACUUGUAACAACGUACGCAUAGUUUCUUCCAAUACAAACAACCUUGCCGGCCCGUGACAACAUGGUUGACAAUUUUAGUGAGUGACUGUAGUAUUCGAAAAAUAUGGGUAGCUUAUAAGUCCACGGACUUUAAAAUUUUUCAGGUUGACUGGCGGAUUGAAACUGUCUUACUAGGGUACAGCUUUCAACUUCGCUAUUUCUGUACCUAAAAUUAUAAAUAUGCAAAAUCAAAUAAAGUUGAUUCAAUCUGUUUAAUAGGUAAAAGCCUUAGCGAAAAAAAAUAGAUACACCGUUUCGGUAAUUAAAUAUUCCAAAAGACUCCCGCUAAGGAGUUUACUAAAUAGCGUCGGAAUUAGUUAACAGGCUUUUAUAGGAUUCGUAAAAUUCAUCGGAAUAAUUUGUGAAAAUCACAUCUGGUCCGCAUGGAUACCAAUGGGAAUUUGUGGUCAAGUUUAAAUUAUUCAAGUUUUUAAUUUCCGUCGUAUUGGAACAUGAAAAAAUUUUGGGAACAAUGGUAACCACAUAAGCAUCAAUGUCGGUAGACCCAAAAGCUUUGGCUAACAGCUCUGCUCCUCCCUCAACCAUGAUUCUGUUUACACCAUUUUGCAACAGCUUGUCGAGCGCCACAUAAUCCGACCAACUGUCAGGUGAAUCCUCGUUUCUAAUGAUACAGCGGCCUCCAACACUUUGAAUGAGCUUGACUGCUUCUUUUAGCUUGCUAUCGUGUUGAACCUGUUGCCAAAUACUUGGUGCAACGAUAAUUAAAGGUGGUUUCCCCAAACGCUCACGAGCCAGCCGAAUGACUUUAAGAGAUGCAUAAUCCAAGCGCAGAUUAGAAUCCACUAUAAUAGGAAUAGGCUGUUUGUUUAAAGGUAACAGGCAAUCAGGAUUAGCUGGAUCAGGAAGCUUUGCAGUUAAACUAGGAUUAUCGUUUUCAGCCGUUCUGCUGCCGACCAUGAUUCCAUCAAACUUGGUACGGAGCAAAUGGGUCAUCACGAACGACUCCUUCGAAGACAACCUGAGUUGUCCAAGAGAAGGCGAUUCCACGACAUAACCUAUUCGACCAUUGAUAGACUGAGCCCAUGUUAACAAGACAUGCUUUUUGUUAGCGGAAGGAGGAAAAUAAGCUUGAGAUGACUCCAUAGGGCAAAAAAUGUAAAUAAUUAAAACAAGUUUAUGUACUGCAAACUUUGAUGUUACAAUAUUUGAGCUUUUAUCGAGAGUUAACGUAGUCCGUCAAAGAUUAGGUCAA
Molecule: long non-coding RNA, 2361 nt
Filed under: Schizosaccharomyces pombe (fission yeast)
Lineage: Eukaryota; Fungi; Ascomycota; Schizosaccharomycetes; Schizosaccharomycetales; Schizosaccharomycetaceae
Source: RNAcentral